Molecule: ribosomal RNA, 984 nt
Filed under: Triticum aestivum (bread wheat)
Lineage: Eukaryota; Viridiplantae; Streptophyta; Magnoliopsida; Poales; Poaceae
Description: partial small subunit ribosomal RNA
Source: RNAcentral
AUGCCUAUGAAUUAUUCACUUGUUAUUGAACCAUUUGAUGUUUGGGGCAUUGAUUAUAUGGGACCUUUUCCUGCCUCUAAUGGAUAUACACAUAUUUUAGUUGAUGUUGAUUACGUUACUAAGUGGGUAGAAGCUAUUCCACCUAGUAGUGCUGAUCAUAACACUUUUAUUAAAAUGCUUAAAGAAGUUAUUUUUCCGAGGUUUGUAGUCCGUAGAUAUUUAAUGACUGAUGGUGGUUCACAUUUUAUGCAUGGUGCUUUUCGUAAAAUGCUUGCUAAAUAUGACGUCAACCAUAGAAUCACAUCUCCAUAUCACCCACAGUCUAGUGGUCAAGUAGAAUUGAGUAAUAGAGAACUCAAAUUAAUUUUGCAAAAGACUGUCAAUAGGUCUAGAAAGAAUUGGUCCAAGAAACUUGAUGAUGCAUUAUGGGCCUAUAGAACUGCAUAUAAAAAUCCUAUGGGUAUGUCUCUGUAUAAAAUGGCAUAUGGAAAAGCAUGUCACUUACCUCUCGAACUAGAACAUAAGGCAUAUUGGGCUAUUAAAGAGCUCAACUAUGAUUUCAAACUUGCCGGUGAAAAGAGGUUAUUUGAUAUUAUCUCACUUGAUGAAUGGAGAACCCAAGCUUAUGAAAAUGCCAAGUUGUUUAAAGAAAAGGUUAAAAGAUGGCAUGACAAAAGGAUACAAAAGCGUGAGUUUAAUGUAGGUGAUUAUGUAUUGCUAUACAACUCUCUUUUAAGAUUUUUUGCAGGGAAACUUCUCUCUAAAUGGGAAGGCUCCUAUGUUAUCGAGGAGGUCUAUCGUUACGGUGCCAUAAAAAUCAACAACUUCGAAGGCACAAAUCCGAAGGUGGUAAACGAUCAAGGAAUCAAACAUUAUAUCUCAGGUAAUCCCAUAAAUGUUGAAACCAAUAUUAUUGAAACUGUAACCCCGGAGGAAUUCAUAAGGGACACUUUCCAGAACGUUUCAGACUCCGAAAAGGGAUAG